This 341-nucleotide long non-coding RNA is filed under the name Mytilus galloprovincialis (Mediterranean mussel). The record is from RNAcentral. Lineage: Eukaryota; Metazoa; Mollusca; Bivalvia; Mytilida; Mytilidae.
UUCUCCCCAGGAUUUUUGGAUAGCACCAGGGUAACGCGUGACGAAAUGAAUUUUACAAUAUUUUGUGUCGCGUUGCGUCGCUUAUUUUUUUCUUGUUGGUUUUUGUCAUUACCUUUUUGCCUUUGUUUUGUUUACUGUGGUACUGUGUUGUAUGGACUUUGGGUCAGAACAUUAUUGGUAGAAAAAGUAAAUCAAUAUAACAGUUUUUAUACUUUAAUAUCUUACUUCUUAUAUUUGGAUCAAGCCAUUUUGUCCCAAUACUUGAAGUUACACUACACAUUCCCCAUGUUAGAUUUGACCAUAACAAUGAACUUUGAACAAGAUUAAUUUUUGUUACAGAA